UCUACGGGCGGCAGCAGUGGGGAAUAUUGGGCAAUGGAGGCAACUCUUACCCAGCAAUGCCGCGUGAAUGAAGAAGGUCUUCGGAUUGUAAAGUUCUUUAAUUGGGGACGAAAAAAAUGACGGUACCCAAGGAAUAAGCCACGGCUAACUACGUGCCAGCAGCCGCGGUAAUACGUAGGGGGCAAGCGUUGUUCGGAAUGACUGGGCGUAAAGGGUGUGUAGGCGGUGUAGCAAGUUAGAAGUGAAAUACCUAGAGCUUAACUCAGGUGCUGCUUCUAAAACUGCUAUACUUGAGUGCAGUAGAGGAAAGUGGAAUUCCUAGUGUAGCGGUGGAAUGCGUAGAUAUCACGAAGAACUCCGAUUGCGAAGGCAGCCUACUAAACUGCCACUGACAUUGAUGCUCGAAAGUGUGGGUAUCAAACAGGAUUAGAUACCCGGGUAGUC
RNAcentral lists this ribosomal RNA (444 nucleotides) under uncultured bacterium. RNAcentral describes it as "partial 16S ribosomal RNA". It matches the Rfam family "Bacterial small subunit ribosomal RNA", at positions 338 to 795 of the family's 1533-position model. The record is from RNAcentral.